Long non-coding RNA from Brassica napus (rape), 2372 nucleotides. RefSeq lists it as uncharacterized. The transcript has 2 exons. Lineage: Eukaryota; Viridiplantae; Streptophyta; Magnoliopsida; Brassicales; Brassicaceae. The record is from RefSeq and is a predicted model, not a curated record.
AUUGGUAGAAUCUGGAUAUGGCUUAUUCUUCAGUACCAAGCAGGUUCCAUGGCUAUCUCACCAUUCGUUCUCCACUGCCCAAAUCAUAUCUACAAAUGCAGCUAUAAUGUAUUCUCUUGAUAAAAUCUAACAACCCAUGGAGAUCAUUUUAUAUAAUGCUAAAUAUAACUUAAUUUUGUAAUUAAAUUUUAAAUAUAAAAAUUUAGACCAUUGAUUCAAGUGAUACAUGGUUUAUGAGAUUUUUUCGGUUAGAUUUUAUCAGUUUUUUAGUCUCAUAUGAAAUUUUUUUUUCUCUUUUUCAAAAUAGUUUAAAUGGUAGUUUCUUUAAAAAACAAUAUUGAUAAUGAUGUUCUUAGUAUAUCUUGUUAUUUGUUUCUCUCUAAUUGACUAAUAUAAUCUUAGAUUUUGGCUAAAUUAAUAAUGAAUGAUAUAUCUUAGUUAAAAGUUUGGCCAUCAAUCUAUGUUUUAAAAUUUUCUGUUGUAUCUCCGUUAAAAUAUGAAUUCAAAAUUAUGGUGAUUAGAUUCAUUACAUAAGACAGUAUAUUAUAGAGUAAGUAUGUGAGCUGACAAAGUAUGGGUGAGCAAUAAUUACGGAUUCGAUUUGAGUUUGGAUUUAGUUUAUUUGGUAUAAGAAAACUUUAAUCAAAGUAAAUCCAAAUUAGUUUGGUUUGGUAUAAUUUUAGUUCGGUUUGGUUUAUGUUCGAUUUAGUUUUAGUUCAGUUUGAUUUGUGUUUAUUUCGAUUUAAUUUUUUUUUUUGUGUCUAUUCAUUUCAGUCGAGUUGAUUUUUUAGUUGGGUUACAGUUUAAUUACAAAAUUAUGAUUGAUAAGAAGAUAAACAAAUUACCAUUUGAAAAAUCAUUAUUUUCUUUAUAUUUAAAUAUAAAUCCAAAUAUCACAAUAAAUUAUAAGAUAUAAUCUAAUAAUUUUAUGUUAUUAUAUUCAAAUCUUAUAUAAAUACCAUAGGUAAUUUUCUGUUUUUGAUGUUAAUGCAGGAGAUUCAUACUCUUUUAUUUUAUUUUAGUUGUGUUGAUUCUAUUCAUUUAGAAGUAAAAAUGUAUAAAUCAUAUUUAGUUGUUUAGUUUAAAUAUAUUAAAUCUUAAUAUUAUUACUGUCAUAGUUAAUUAGCCUAACUAAAAACUCAUGUUUAAAAUCAUUUGGUUUGGUUAAAACUGAACCAUUUGGAUUGAUAAAAUCUUGAACCAAAUGGUUUAAACAUAUAAUUUGGUUUGAUAUGGGUCGUGAAUGAAUCGGUUUGAUUUGGUAUGGUUUAGAUUUUUUUUUCCCACCACUAUAACAAAGAAAUUUUCCAUUUCUCAGCGUCAUUAUCUAUUUUGUAUGUAUUUUUAUUUAUUUCGAAAUAAGGGUAUUUUUCAAAGAGCGAUUUGCAUCAAAAAUACAGCAUAACUUAAUAAUUUGCAGCUAUGCAAAAAGUUAAUAAAACAUGAUUCAGCCCAGCCCGUUUAGAGUCAAAAUGACAUUUUUAACCCUAUCAAUCUAGAAAGAGAGAGAGAAACAACUAUCAAUAUUUUUCGUUUAUUACUCUACCUUUUAAUUUUAAUUUUAUGUGUCAAGAGAGAGAGAAGGAGAUGCCGGAGAAAUUAAAAAAAACAAACUUUAGUUAAGAUCCUUAAGAUAGAUCCAACUAAAAAAAUCUGUUUGGAGCUUUGAUUCGAGUUAAAAAAACUAAAACUAAAAUUAAGAGUGGAGAGGCGAUGAACGGAAGACAUAAAUCUGGAAACACGGUGGUGCACCACCACCAGAGAAAUCUUUCUGAUAACCUUCUCGACAUGUGUUCCUCCUGUGGCAGAUGGCUCUAAUCCACUGGUUUUCCACACUUUCAGCCAUCCCCAUUUGGUGUGUGUACGCAUGAUUACGGAUACUAUGCUGCUGGUGGCCAACUCUGCAAGGUUCUGGAAACCGGAGUUAGCGGUGGAGACUAUAAACCGGAGUAAGUGGCGGCGAUGGUUCUUAUGAAGGGGUAAUUGGACUACUGUAACCGGAGGCAAACAGUGACCAAAGAGUCAACUAAGGCGAGCCAGAGCCACCACCACAGGACUGAAUCAAGAAGAAGAAGAAUGCAUGUCUUCAACCUAGGUUCGUUGCUAGGCCAUAAAUUAGUUUAGCCAGCUAAUAGAUAUAAGUUUUUGUGUUCAUCUUUUUUUUUGGAUAAUGUUAGAUUUACUCACAUAGGUACAAUUCAUAUAGUUGAUAUUUAUGUUAGCCGGUUAUAAUGUGACUUGUUUAGAUCCUUUGUAAAUUAGAUGGUUAUAUUCCGAUUUAUCUGGAUAUUUUACAUGUUAGUUGAUAUUUAGAUUUAAAAUUACUAGAAUCAUUAAUGGUUAUAUUAAUUAGUAAAUGGUUAUAUUCCGAU